CGGUGGAGCAUGUGGUUAAUUCGAAGCAACGCGAAGAACCUUACCAGGCCUUGACAUGCAGAGAACUUUACCAGAGAUGGAUUGGUGCCUUCGGGAACUCUGACACAGGUGCUGCAUGGCUGUCGUCAGCUUGUGUCGUGAGAUGUUGGGUUAAGUCCCGUAACGAGCGCAACCCUUGUCCUUAGUUACCAGCACGUUAUGGUGGGCACUCUAAGGAGACUGCCGGUGACAAACCGGAGGAAGGUGGGGAUGACGUCAAGUCAUCAUGGCCCUUACGGCCUGGGCUACACACGUGCUACAAUGGUCGGUACAAAGGGUUGCCAAGCCGCGAGGUGGAGCUAGUCCCAUAAAACCGAUCGUAGUCCGGAUCGCAGUCUGCAACUCGACUGCGUGAAGUCGGAAUCGCUAGUAAUCGUGAAUCAGAAUGUCACGGUGAAUACGUUCCCGGGCCUU
RNAcentral lists this ribosomal RNA (453 nucleotides) under uncultured Pseudomonas sp. Its description in RNAcentral is "bacterial SSU rRNA". It matches the Rfam family "Bacterial small subunit ribosomal RNA", at positions 930 to 1382 of the family's 1533-position model. Lineage: Bacteria; Pseudomonadati; Pseudomonadota; Gammaproteobacteria; Pseudomonadales; Pseudomonadaceae. The record is from RNAcentral.